CGUCCUAAGGGAGGCUGCAGUGGGGAAUAUUGCACAAUGGGGGAAACCCUGAUGCAGCCAUGCCGCGUGUGUGAAGAAGGCCUUCGGGUUGUAAAGCACUUUCAGCGAGGAGGAAAGGUCAGUAGCUAAUAUCUGCUGGCUGUGACGUUACUCGCAGAAGAAGCACCGGCUAACUCCGUGCCAGCAGCCGCGGUAAUACGGAGGGUGCAAGCGUUAAUCGGAAUUACUGGGCGUAAAGCGCACGCAGGCGGUUGGAUAAGUUAGAUGUGAAAGCCCCGGGCUCAACCUGGGAAUUGCAUUUAAAACUGUCCAGCUAGAGUCGUGUAGAGGGGGGUAGAAUUCCAGGUGUAGCGGUGAGAUGCGUAGAGAUCUGGAGGAAUACCGGUGGCGAAGGCGGCCCCCUGGACAAAGACUGACGCUCAGGUGCGAAAGCGUGGGGAGCAAACAGGAUUAGAUACCCGGGUAGUC
This 468-nucleotide ribosomal RNA is filed under the name uncultured Aeromonadaceae bacterium. Its description in RNAcentral is "bacterial SSU rRNA". It matches the Rfam family "Bacterial small subunit ribosomal RNA", at positions 335 to 795 of the family's 1533-position model. The record is from RNAcentral. Lineage: Bacteria; Pseudomonadati; Pseudomonadota; Gammaproteobacteria; Aeromonadales; Aeromonadaceae.